Molecule: long non-coding RNA, 916 nt
Organism: Chenopodium quinoa (quinoa)
Lineage: Eukaryota; Viridiplantae; Streptophyta; Magnoliopsida; Caryophyllales; Amaranthaceae
Exons: 2
Source: RefSeq, a predicted model, not a curated record
AAAAAGAGUUAUUUGACCAAAUUCCAACAGUUGGCUUUAUUAAGCCAUUGAGCAUUGACCAUCACAUUAACGUGUGACUUUAACAAUUGGGAGGAGACUCGAAUCUAACCACCUAAAAUUGAUCCCCGUAUCCGAAUUAGCCUAAAAAGUGAAUCGGGUGAAACACCAAAAAAAACACUUUAACGUGACUUUGCCCAGUUGCCCCCCCCCCCCCCUCUUUUGUCUUUGUCUCCAUUUUCUCGCGUUUCCCUCCAAUUCUGAGCAUUAGAAAUACAAUUCAUUUCCUCAUUUAAGAAAAAUUUUAAUCAACAAAAACUACCUCUUUAAGGAAAUUUAAACAUAAAUUAAAGGCAAGGGAUAAUGGAUAAGAUUUGAACCCGUAAUUUUCUUGCCAUGCUGGCUCUUAAGUCUCAUAUUAUAAUAUAUUAUCAAUUAUUUAUUUUUAGAGUAAAAAUGGUGGGCUAGCCGUUUGGGAACCAGCAGGAGCUCAAAAAUGGUUGGAGGUGAGUUUAUUGAGUAUUUACAUUGUUAAAUUAUUUUUCUAUCAUUAUAAAUGAACUUAUUGGUAUAAAUUUAUCUGUACAAUCUCUAGGUUCUUAACCCAACCGAAUUUUUUGAAGACGUUGUCAUUGAGUAUGAGUAUGUAGAAUGUACAGCUUCAGCAGUUCAAGCUUUAGUUUUGUUCAAACAGUUAUAUCCAGGACAUAGGAAGAAAGAGAUCGACAAUUUCAUCGUAAAUGCGGUCCAGUACAUUGAGAGAACCCAAUAUCCUAGUGGUGGAUGGUAUGUUAUGACUUCUAAUUAUGUACGAGUACCAUUUAUGGAGUAUGUAUUACAAAGUUUAAAAUUUUAUGACAGUCAUUCUUAAAAUAACUACAAUUAUAUUCUCCUCAAAAAAAAAAAAAAAAAAAAAAAA